This 565-nucleotide ribosomal RNA is filed under the name uncultured archaeon. Its description in RNAcentral is "bacterial SSU rRNA". It matches the Rfam family "Archaeal small subunit ribosomal RNA", at positions 327 to 894 of the family's 1478-position model. The record is from RNAcentral.
GGGGUGCAGCAGGCGCGAAAACUUUACAAUGCUGGCAACAGCGAUAAGGGGACCUCGAGUGCCAGGAUACAAUCUUGGCUGUCGUGAUGCCUAAAAAGCAUUGCAUAGCAAGGGCCGGGCAAGACCGGUGCCAGCCGCCGCGGUAACACCGGCGGCUCGAGUGGUAACCGCUAUUAUUGGGUCUAAAGGGUCUGUAGCCGGCCGGAUAAGUCUUUUGGGAAAUCCAGCUGCUCAACAGUUGGGCUUUCAGAAGAUACUGUUCGGCUCGAGGCCGGGAGAGGUGAGAGGUACUUCAGGGGUAGGGGUGAAAUCUUGUAAUCCUUGAAGGACCACCAGUGGCGAAGGCGUCUCACCAGAACGGUCCUGACGGCAAGGGACGAAAGCUAGGGGCACGAACCGGAUUAGAUACCCGGGUAGUCCUAGCCGUAAACGAUACUCGCUAGGUGUCAGCCACGGUGCGACCGUGGUUGGUGCCGUAGGGAAGCCGUGAAGCGAGCCACCUGGGAAGUACGGCCGCAAGGCUGAAACUUAAAGGAAUUGGCGGGGGAGCACAAGGGCGAUUCGC